Molecule: unclassified non-coding RNA, 291 nt
Filed under: Hevea brasiliensis (rubber tree)
Lineage: Eukaryota; Viridiplantae; Streptophyta; Magnoliopsida; Malpighiales; Euphorbiaceae
Source: RNAcentral
GUUAAAUUUCAUAAAAUUCAAUAUUUAAUCAUUUCAGUAAACAAUACCUUUAGCAAUGAAUUUACGGAUACAUCACUAAAUUCAUCAUUAAUAAUAUGCCUUAACAACGAAUCUAUUACUAUUAAGAAUAGUAAGUCAUACUAUUACUAAGUCAUACUAUUAACAAUAGGUUUAGCAGCAAAUCCAUAAUCCCUCACUAAUACAAAAUUCAGAGAAAAUUUUAAAAGAUAAAAUAUAAAUUUUUAAAGUAAUAAAUUUAUUUUCGAGCAAAUUUUUUUAAGUAAAUUAAGA